GUGUCAGCCGCCGCGGUAAUACGUAGGGGGCAAGCGUUGUCCGGAUUCAUUGGGCGUAAAGAGCGUGUAGGCGGUUAGGUAGGUCAGUUGUGAAAACUGGAGGCUCAACCUUCAGACGUCGACUGAAACCCCCUGGCUAGAGUCCGGGAGAGGAGAGUGGAAUUCUUGGUGUAGCGGUGGAAUGCGCAGAUAUCAGGAAGAACACCCGUGGCGAAAGCGGCUCUCUGGAACGGUACUGACGCUGAGACGCGAAAGCGUGGGGAGCGAACAGGAUUAGAUACCCUCGUAGUCC
This 292-nucleotide ribosomal RNA is filed under the name uncultured bacterium. RNAcentral's name for it is "partial 16S ribosomal RNA". It matches the Rfam family "Bacterial small subunit ribosomal RNA", at positions 505 to 796 of the family's 1533-position model. The record is from RNAcentral.